AAAUCUGCUGUUAGACCAAGCCACUGUCACCUGCUUGCAGAGAUGGCAGCAGCCACCUGGUCUCCCUCAAUUUCACUCUUGCACCUUGACAGUCUCUUCACCACACAGCUGCAGGAAGGAUCUUUAUAAAACAUUUAUCAGCUGGUAUGCCCCUACCCAAACCAUCCAACGGCUCCAUAUGUCACUUAGAAUAAAAACCAAACUCCUCACCACAGCCUCAGGGCCUCAUGGGCUGUGUCCCCUGCCUGCCUCUGUGACCUCCUCUCUGACCACAUGGCAGCCUCAUUCUGCCCCAGCCACACUGACCUCCUUCCUGUUCCUCUAGCAUGCCAGGCACACCCCACCCUGGAGCCUUUGUCCGUGGUGUUCCCUGGACCUGGAAAGACCAUGCCCCCUCCCUCAGCGGUCUUCAAACUUCUCCAGUUCACCUUGAUUUCUUCAAAUGGAGACCACCACAUCCUUGUUUUGUUUUUGUUCUGUUUUGUUUUGUCUUGUUUUGUGGGAGGAAGUUCCUUACCACUAAGACCAAAGACCAGAGUUUGAUUUUAUAUAAAUAAACUAUUCUGACAGGCUCCAGGAACAGUGGCUCCUCUGCGGAAGGACCCCUCUCCACUCCCCUCUGAAGGAAGCUCAGAGCUUUGCUAUCUCCAAGUUAACGUCUCCGCUGCUCUCCCAGUAUCUCCCGGGUGUAGACCUCCUGACUGCCAAUUCCAGGUUGCACAGUCUCAGAAUCAGGCAUCAUUAGCUUGUCCGACACCAUUCUUAAAGAACGGCUGGAAUAUGCCUUUCACUAAAGGAAUCAGAGAGCACCUGGUAUCUGCCCAGCUCUGGCCCAGGCCCUGGGAAUGCUAAGAGAAAUCGGAAAUGGCCCCUCUCCUUAAGGAAUA
RNAcentral lists this long non-coding RNA (887 nucleotides) under Equus caballus (horse). RNAcentral's name for it is "lncRNA (ENSECAG00000055906.1)". Lineage: Eukaryota; Metazoa; Chordata; Mammalia; Perissodactyla; Equidae. The record is from RNAcentral.